RNAcentral lists this long non-coding RNA (1052 nucleotides) under Anas platyrhynchos platyrhynchos (common mallard). RNAcentral's name for it is "lncRNA (ENSAPLG00000020176.1)". Lineage: Eukaryota; Metazoa; Chordata; Aves; Anseriformes; Anatidae. The record is from RNAcentral.
AUGUUAGUGUUAUGAGAAACAAAUUGUUUUAUUUUUUAUUUUAUAAAAUAUUUAUUUCACAUAAUAUUUAUUUUAUUUAGUCUUCUUUGCAAACAUAGGAUUUUCCUCCAGACCUCUAAACUGUACACCGCAUCCAGUUUUAUUAAUCUUAGAGAGUCUAACAUAAGAAAACAUCCCCAGGGCCUGGUUCAAGUUUUACAAAGGUAAUACAAAGCUCCACAGUUUACUUACCAGGAGUCUCAGUGUGAUACACUUGACUUCAAAUAGAUACCUCUUACCGUUUCAGACAUCUUAACAUUUGGCAGCAAUUUAUUUCAACACAUACUAAAUGAGUCUAUAUAGCACUAGGCACAUGUAUUCUGAUCUCCAGCCAUGCAAAGACAUAAGGCCAGCAAGGGGAAUUUAAGUCACGCUGCUGUGUUUAUGUCUUUGCAUGCUCUCUCCCUUCUCCAUCUAAAAGAUGAAUGAGGGCGUGGGAAGAUGAGCCUACUCAGAGACCUUAUCCAGCUUCCUAGCUCUUAAUGACAAAGCAAAUGUAAUGUCAAAGUUAUGAAUUGCAUUCAUGCAGGCUGGACCUCACAUUACCGGCAGUCAAGGUACAUGUGAAGAACCAGUAGCCUCCCAGCACAGGGACAGAGUGGUGACUGUCACUACUGCAGAGAAUGAGUAGUUCCAGUAGGGCUUCAGCUGUCACUUCACUGCAGACAGCAGAGAGGCUGAAUCCUCCAUGAAGGCCUGCAUAGCUUUCCUCUCCACUUACAGCCUAGUGGUUCAUUCUGGGCAGCAGGAAUGGCCCCACAGGCCCCUUGCUGGACAGAAGAGGGUGGACUUCAACAGAGGUCACUUACAAGUACAAAACUCAGCUUCCUUCAGCUCUUCGUGAUUUCUGAUCCCCAGGUAACUGCUGCUGCUUUAAACGAAGACACAGCUCUCCUCCCUACCAUUCUCUGAAGCUGUUCCUGUGAGUCUGUUACUGGGAAAAUCCUUACGCUACUUCUGCACCAUGAUAUACGAAAAAUAAAAUAAAUAAAAUAAAAUAAAAUAAAAUAAAA